CAGAGGGAGGAAGCAGUCAAAACACCACCUAAAAACAAAAGAUCAAGACGACUGAUCCAAAACUGCGGUGGAAAAAGAGAGACCAAGAAGGAUUCUUGGUCUAUGAGAAGCGCAAACCAAAGACUGACCCAUGUGGAAGACAAGUGACCUCAACCAUUGCCUCUGCAAGUAACCAUCAAGAAGUUGAGCUUGGAACUGCAAGCACAUCUGAAGCCUCAACUACCGAACAACAUUGUGGAGAUUGUUGAGAUCAGUAAUGAAGUGAGAGGAUUUUUGACUGUGGUGAUGUCUGGACUGAUGAAGAGUGAUUCUGGCUGGUAUUACUGUUCUGUAGGAGAUAACAUUCUCCUCUUGAAUAUCUACAGGUUCCUGUU
Molecule: non-coding RNA, 374 nt
Organism: Paramisgurnus dabryanus
Lineage: Eukaryota; Metazoa; Chordata; Actinopteri; Cypriniformes; Cobitidae
Source: RefSeq, a predicted model, not a curated record